Long non-coding RNA from Cervus elaphus (red deer), 5339 nucleotides. RefSeq lists it as uncharacterized. The record is from RefSeq and is a predicted model, not a curated record. The transcript has 3 exons. NCBI's taxonomy places the organism in Eukaryota, Metazoa, Chordata, Mammalia, Artiodactyla, Cervidae.
CCGCCCAUCCGGCUCGGCACCCCGGGCUUUGCCCGCAACGGCCUAGACUGCACAACUGCGGGGCGGGGCGAAGCGGGAAGAGGUGGGGCGGGGCGUUCUGCUGUAGCGUUUCCGGCCCGGCCCAGGUCGGGAGCUCGCCUCCUGGCACCACCAGUGACGUCAUGUCUCGUACCUGUACCGGGAGCCUGGCUUCGGGAUCUUCACGCCGCCGCUCACCAACUGCAUCCUGGGCAGUCAUUCCCAGACCUUGGUUUCAGUACUGCUGAAAUAUGAGCAGCUUCGUAGUGUGCUUCAGAGACUUGUGGUGAGAUGUGAUUGCUGAAAAUAUGUUUUUUAAUGAAAGGUUCAUGCUACGUAUUCCAUUUCUUUUAUGGAUGACGAUCUAGCCAAGAUACCUUGAAAUAAGAGCCUCGAAGGCGAAUUUUGCUUCCACCUAUAUGAAAUACUUUAUAUGUAACUAGAAAAGUUAAGUGAGACCUGAAGAAGAGCGAAGGGCAGUAACAAGCUUCUAUUUUACAAUAACAAAUGUAAGGAAUAAUUUAUUAUCUGUUUAGGUGUAUGUAUGUUUGUAAGAGGGAACCUUUCAGACUUUUACAGUUUUUCCCAGUGUUCAACCAAAUUAAAAAGUUAUGAUUGCAAUCAUUAUUGCAUUACUCUAGUUGGAGCAUUUCCAGGUAAGUGGUCUUUUAUUGUAGUUUUUUAGUAUGAGAAUUUUCAUGCAAUUUUCACCAGUUGUAGAGGUCAAAAAUAAAAUACACUAUUUUGGUCAUGAAGAGGAGCUUCAUUUGAUACUUUGAAUUCUAUUUUCGAGCCAGUCAAAUUUCAUAAAUACUCCCCAGAGUUAUGGCCUAGCUUAUCUUCUGUGUCUGCAGACCCAACACCGCUACAGUCUUAGUUACUCCUUUCUCUCCUAUGCAAAAUUCUUUUUCUGCUUAAUAAUCUUGUAUACGUUCUAUCCUGACUAUAACUAUGGUGACCUAAAAACCAAAUUGAAAACCUUAAAAACAGAAGUUGAUUAUUUGACAACCAUCUAUAUUUUUUUAAUUAGAUGGAAAUGCAUAAUCUACUGUUGCUAAGGCACACAAGUGCUGUCUAGUGGCAAUAGGAAGGGGUUGAGACAAUCCAAAACAGCAAAAACAAACUGCAAUAAAUUGAGAAGAAAAAUAAAGAACCAGUUGUUAAAGGCUCCAUGGAUUGGCUGUCAAAAACAAGCCAGUUGUUCUACAUUACAUGUAUUCAAAAAUCCCUUUCCUGUUAAGUGGCAAGAAGGGUAAUAAACAGCUUAUAUAAUUGAAAAAAUUAGUGGGAUGUUUAUAAUUGCAUGAUUUUAUUUUGCAAAUUGCCAAUUAAACAUCCAAUCAUGAUUUUCACUGCCAGCCACAGAACUUGUUUUCAUGGUUUACAAGUACAUUUCUUAGUUUACUGAAAAUUCAAAACACAAGUCACAUUCCAAGAUGAUCUGGAAUAGUUAUUUUUUAACACAAAUAUGCAAUUGAAGAGCAGUCUUUUGCAAAAGAACAACUUAUAGAAACAGAAAAGCACAGAGAUUCUAAUGGUUUUAUUUGGGGCAUUGACAUUUUUGUCAUUAUCUCCAGACUGUCAUAGGUCAACUAAAAGUAGACAGCAAAACAACAUUCCAAAUCUUUCUUUCACUUUGUAAUAUGAGUUGUAUUAUAUACCUGUGACAAAAAGAUAAAUUCAGGUAUUACUAUAAUUUACUUGAAAAUAUAACUGUUACCUAAAUUUAGUUAUCCAAUGAUGCAUGUAGAGCUAAAAAGGUAAAUCUAGUUAUACCUAUUUCUAUGAAAGGCUGGGAAAACAAAAAUUCAAUAACCAGGAGUGCCAUCAGAUAAAAAACAAGACUUUUCAUGGUUUUGACAUAACUACAUAUAUAUUUUAGUAAAGAAUAUUUUUAACAUUAUCCUAUUCUUCAAAUAGGAAAUUAUAGUUUCAUAAUCAGUCAUGCACAAGAAAAAAUGUUUAAAAGGUGUGUGAAGCAGUGGCCACUCCUGAUUUGGUGAAUUUGGCGAAUAAUCGCUCUAAAACAAUCCUACACACAGAAAUGCAAGACCACUAAAAUCAUGAAUUUGCAGCUGCAGCAUCUGACCACUGCCACUCAGCAGCCACCUCAACAGAAAGACCAAAAUUCUCUCCAGGGUUCCUUUCAAGGCUAGGUCCCUGCCACUAUCAUAAUCAGCCUGGCCACUGGAAGAGUUACCCAAAGUUAAAAAGAAGGCCUUAUUCGCAGCCCAAAGCUACUCUCUCGGACCCUUUUCAUGAACGUUCUGAGAAAUUUGAAAAGCACCUCCCUUUUGUAAACAAACACUCAUGAAGUUCUGAGAAAAGUUUUGGAGUCUUUCCAGUACUCCCACUAACACCACUGGGAAAGUUGGACCUUCUUUUAUAGGAGCUGAGGCUAUUACCACUCUUGUGUCUUGAACCCCACCAGCCUUCAGACCUUCUUCCUUAGAGUGCCAGAAUGGUCCAAAUGGUAUGAGUUCCAAACACGGUUGUGAAGACAAUACUCUCUCAGGCCUGAGGCCCUUGAAGGAUUUCAUCUGACUGUCAAGGCACACUUCCAGAAGAGACUCAUCAUCCCACACACCAGUCCCUGUAGCCCACCGGUCUUUCCCACAGAUAGUGAGAGGAGACUUGGCCAGUGUGAAUUUUGCCCACAGCUCUACUUUUCUUCGAUAUGUUGAUGACCUUUUGUUAUGCUCUGCUUCUAAGGAAGCAUGCCUCAAGGACAGCCUAUUCCUUCUAACUCAGCUAGCACACAAAGGCAGAAGUCUCAAGGAGAAAGUUCCAGUUUGUUCAAACCCAGGUAAGUUACUUGAGUCAUGCAUCAAGGGCACAUCUCAGUUUCCCACUUCCUCCCACCAAGUGCCAUUUGAGUUGCUUUUUUGGACUAACAGGCUAUUGCAGAGUUGGGUUCCUAAUUUCCUCUUGUAUGCACAAACCUUUUUCCCUGCUAAAAGGCAGAGGCCCAAUCCUCGUUUGAAAUAAUGAGGCUGAAUCAGCUUUUCAAACUUCAAAUGUUCAGUUGGCCACAGCCCCUGCUGUAGGGCACCCUAACUAUUUUCUUCCCUUUCUGCUAUUUGUUCAUGAAGUUAUUAAUAACAGGAAACACCCUUGGAGAGCUCAUUCAGUCCCAUGGGGGAAAACAGAGAUCUAUUGGCUUUUAGGGCCAACAGUUGAAGCCUGUAGGUCAAGAUCUUUCACCUUGCCUCCAAGCAAUAGCAGCCAGCACUGCCAUUCUGCAGGUUAUAGAAUAGACAGUUUUGGGGUCUCCCUUAUGGACUUUUGUCCCUUAACUAGUUGAGGCACUCCACACACACUCUUAUCUGCUCACUGACUGACAUCCUGUGAAAUUUUUUUUUUUUAAUUUUUUUUUUACUUUUUUUUUAUUAGUUGGAGGCUAAUUACUUCACAACAUUUCAGUGCAUCCUGUGAAAUCUCGUUUUUCUCUCCAAAUGUCUUUUUGUCUUAUGGUAAUGCCCUAAAUCCUGCUACCCACUUAACAUCAGCAACAGAUAAGACCUCACAUGACUGCAUAACCACAGUUGAUAUUUUGACUAGUCUGCAUCCAGAUUACAAGAAACACCUUAGACAAGCUUGACAUCUCUUGCUGUAUCUAUGAAAUAGUGCUGGACAACAAAUCUGGAUAUGCCGUCACUACUGCCUUCACUAUAAUAGAAUCCAAUGCUCUGCCCCUCGUUUGUUCAGCCCAACAAGUUGAACCACACACACUAACUUGCACCUGCACACUUUAGCCUCUGGCAAAUGUGCUAACAUUUACACCAAUAGCAGUUAUGUUUUGGGAGUAUCUCAUGACUUUGAAAUGCUUUGGAAACAUAGAGGUUUCUUGAGCUCACGGGGGAAGUGAAAUUGAAAAUGGCCCCUUUGUUAAGGCUUUGGUGGAUGCAGUCUUGCUGCAUGACAGUUGGCGAUGAUAAGUUGCCGGGCCUUCCAAAGACAGGACUGAAGACUGGCUGACAGAGUUGCCAAGGUCGCAGCAUUACAAGACUCAGGCUUCAUAAAGAAACUUCUGUUGGUCACUGUUCACACCAAGUUAGCUGUGUACUACUUUGGAAGGACACCCAAGAUUUAAAGGCUAUUAUCAGAAACGGGAAAGUGCAUGCUACAGUUAGGAAAGAAUAGUGAUGGGCUUCUGAAGGAUGCCCGUUUGACCAACAUCCUUGGCUUUGGUAUGGGCCAAACAACCAUCCUGCUCUUUCUGCAGUCGCUCAAGAAACCAUCUUAAAGUUAAUACAGGAAAUAACUCGUUAAAGAAUUGAUAAAAUGAUAGCCUGAGGGAAACAAUACUUUUAGAGACCGCCCAUAGUAGCAGCUCAAAUAUGUCAACGGUAUCAGAUCUGUCUGAGGUAUAACCCACCAAAACCUAUUCAUAUUCUCAAGGCCACUUUCCUUUACCUGCUGGUUCCUCUACUAUCCAGCAACUGAAUUUUAGCCAGCUGCCUCCCUCUCAAGGAUCCAAAUAUUUUCUUGUGAUGCUUUGUAUGUAUUGUCAUUGAAUGGAAGCCUUCCCUUGCAGACGAGCAGCAGUGGCCAAAACAUUACUGGAGGGAUUAUUCUCACGUGGGGACUUCUCUUGGAAUUAUAUGAUAAAAGUACCAUUGCACUAGACAAAUUCCAGAUGUUGCUUGUGAAGUCUGGCCUACAACGUUUCUGCUGUACCGAUCAGCCUCAAUCCUCUGGUCAAACGGAAAGAACUAAUGUGUGUGCAUGUGUGCUUGGUCGCUCUCUCAUGUCCAACUCUUUGUGACCCCGUGGACUGUAGCCUGCCAGACCCCUCUGUCCAUGGAAUUUUCCAGGCAAGAAUACUGGAACGGGUUGCCAUUUCCUCCCCCAGGGGAUCUUCCUGACCCAGGGAUCAAACUCACAUCUCUUGUGUCUUUUGCAUAGGCAGGCGGAGUCUUUUACCACUGUGCCACCAGGAAGCCAAAAGAACUAAUAGCAUAAUAAAAACAUAUGGAAUAUUACUCAGCCAUUAAAAAGGGACACAUUUGAGUCAGUUCUAAUGAGGUGGAUAAACAUAAAACCUAUUAAAUGGAGUAAAGUAAGUCAGAAAGAGAAAAAUACCACAUAUUAAAGCAUAUAUAUGGAAUCUAGAAAGAUGGUCCUGAUGAACCUAUGUGCGGGGCAGCAUUGGAGAUGCAGCCAGAGAGAACAGACUUGUGGACAGUUAGGGAAGGAUAGGGAGGGAUAAACUGAAAUAGUUACAUUGAAACAUACACAUUACCAUAUGUAAAAUGGAUAACCAGUGGAAAUUGGCUAUAUGACACAAGAAGCUCAAACCCAGUGCUCUGUGACAAUCU